AUACUUACCUGGCAGGGGAGAUGCCACGAUCACACAGGUGGUUUUCCCAGGGCAAGGCUCAUCCAUUGCACUUGGGAUGUGCUGAUCCCUGCGAUUUCCCCAAAUGUGGGAAACUGCAUAAUUUGUGAUAGUGGGGGACUGCGUUCGUGCUUUCCCCUG
Ochotona curzoniae (black-lipped pika) is the source of this 159-nucleotide small nuclear RNA. RefSeq annotates it as U1 spliceosomal RNA. The record is from RefSeq and is a predicted model, not a curated record. The transcript has a single exon. NCBI's taxonomy places the organism in Eukaryota, Metazoa, Chordata, Mammalia, Lagomorpha, Ochotonidae.